Pelobates cultripes (western spadefoot toad) is the source of this 299-nucleotide non-coding RNA. NCBI's taxonomy places the organism in Eukaryota, Metazoa, Chordata, Amphibia, Anura, Pelobatidae. The record is from the annotation of a GenBank genome assembly.
CUGUACUAUUGCAGCUAACCUCUGCUCGCCCCGCGUACAGCCAUGGCCUCCUGUUUCAGCGCCAGCGUACUAAGCUCUGCUCCCUAGCCAUAGUAGGCUACCCAACUGCAUAUACUAACCACACAUGCCUUACUAGAGCCUGUGUUUCAGGGCGCUGCGACAAUUAGCCACAAGGCGCAUGAAGCCAAUCACUAGCAUGCCCCAAGUUCUACGCUCAAUAGCUUCCUAUAGGGGAAUCUGGGUGUCUUAGACCAUAACCAUAAAACUGAGUAGGUUCAGCUACGUGAUGUCUGUCCAGC